UAUUUAUAUAGUUUAAUAAAAACAUUACAUUUUCAUUGUAAAAAUAAUAUUUUAAUAUUUUUAUAAAUAUAUAAAUAU
RNAcentral lists this transfer RNA (78 nucleotides) under Ephestia kuehniella (Mediterranean flour moth). RNAcentral's name for it is "tRNA-Glu". The record is from RNAcentral. Lineage: Eukaryota; Metazoa; Arthropoda; Insecta; Lepidoptera; Pyralidae.